RNAcentral lists this long non-coding RNA (620 nucleotides) under Homo sapiens (human). RNAcentral's name for it is "HSALNT0361834". Lineage: Eukaryota; Metazoa; Chordata; Mammalia; Primates; Hominidae. The record is from RNAcentral.
CAGGGCUUGAAGGCUGUGGGUGUGGGGCCCCAUAAUCAUUUGGUCCAGGACAGGCAGUAGGCGUCAGGGGGCGCCCUAAGGCUCCACGGCAUGUGCCUGUAUUGCUGGGACAUCGAGCCUUCCCAAGUCAACCCUGAGGUGGAGUGGAAAUUACAGAAGUAGGGAGCAGGAUAAAGUUCUCAAUUGCCAGAUGUGGAACAGAUUGCUCUUGGGUCUUCUGGUUAAAAGAUUGGAUCAAAACGAGUGAAGGAGGAGUUAUUUAAGGAAGGACCAAGACAACAUCAUCCUUCAGAGGUCACUGAGCGGCAGCUUGCAAAUAAACGUAUUCAGAAUAUGCAACACCUAAAGAAAGAGAAGAGGAGACUGAAUAAAAGGUUUUCAAGGCCUUCUCCUAUUCCAGAACCAGGACUCCUAUGGUCAUCUUGAUAAAGCAGGAGUCUAUUUGAAGGAAACCAUGCUCCAGACAGAAAUAUGUGGAUUGUGAACAUCAAGUGACAUAUCAUGAAUUGAUCAUCCACAAAAUAAAUGCAAUACUCCACCAUUUCGGAAAAAUAAACACAGUGCAAGUAUUUAAUAUCCAAGCUACAGGCUCUAGAAUUUUAUUAAAUGCCAUCUCUCAC